CCCUUAGAUGUUCUGGGCGGCCCGCGCACUACAUUGGCACUCUCAAUAAGUUCCUAGAUCUAAAACUUUGGGGUAUUCUAUUAAGUGGUGUCGUGACUGGGAUUAACCCUUGCAAUUAUUGAUUACGAACGAGGAAUUCCUUGUAAUCGCGGUUUAUCAGCCCGCGUUGAAUGCGUCCCUGCCCUUUGUACACACCGCCCGUCGCUCCUACCGAUGAAUCGUCCGGUGAAGUUCAUGGAGUGGUGGUUGUUCCAGCUGCUGUCGAAGUGAAAUGGACCUCACGAUUUAGAGGAAGGAGAAGUCGUAACA
RNAcentral lists this ribosomal RNA (309 nucleotides) under uncultured eukaryote. RNAcentral describes it as "partial 18S ribosomal RNA". It matches the Rfam family "Eukaryotic small subunit ribosomal RNA", at positions 1470 to 1796 of the family's 1831-position model. The record is from RNAcentral.